AUGAGUAGCGAGAUGUGGGUGAGAAUCCCACAGGCCGUAAACCCAAGGUUUCCAGGGGAAGGUUCGUCCGCCCUGGGUUAGUCGGGACCUAAGCUGAGGCCGAAAGGCGUAGGUGAUGGACAACAGGUUGAUAUUCCUGUACUACCGAUAACCGUUUGAGAGAAGGGAUGACACAGUAGGAUAAGCUAAGCACACUGUUGGUUAUGUGUGCCCAAGCAUUGAGGCAGUCAAAGUAGGCAAAUCCGCUUUGAUAAUGCUGGGAUGUGAUGGGGAGCGAAAUUUAGUAGCGAAGUAGCUGAUUUCACACUGUCAAGAAAAGUCUCUAUCGAGGUUAAAGGUACCCGUACCGCAAACCGACACAGGUG
Molecule: ribosomal RNA, 365 nt
Filed under: Clostridioides difficile
Lineage: Bacteria; Bacillati; Bacillota; Clostridia; Peptostreptococcales; Peptostreptococcaceae
Description: partial 23S ribosomal RNA
Rfam family: Bacterial large subunit ribosomal RNA
Source: RNAcentral